CAGCAGUGGGGAAUUGUUCGCAAUGGGCGCAAGCCUGACGACGCAACGCCGCGUGGAGGACGAAGAUCUUCGGGUCGUAAACUCCUUUCGAUCGGGACGAACGGCCCGCGGGUGAAUAGCCCGUGGGAGUGACGGUACCGAGAGAAGAAGCCCCGGCUAACUCCGUG
RNAcentral lists this ribosomal RNA (167 nucleotides) under uncultured bacterium. RNAcentral's name for it is "partial 16S ribosomal RNA". It matches the Rfam family "Bacterial small subunit ribosomal RNA", at positions 349 to 507 of the family's 1533-position model. The record is from RNAcentral.